Molecule: ribosomal RNA, 492 nt
Filed under: uncultured Clostridium sp.
Lineage: Bacteria; Bacillati; Bacillota; Clostridia; Eubacteriales; Clostridiaceae
Description: bacterial SSU rRNA
Rfam family: Bacterial small subunit ribosomal RNA
Source: RNAcentral
GGGCCCGCACAAGCAGCGGAGCAUGUGGUUUAAUUCGAAGCAACGCGAAGAACCUUACCUGGACUUGACAUCCCCUGCAUAAGCCUAGAGAUAGGCGAAGCCCUUCGGGGCAGGGAGACAGGUGGUGCAUGGUUGUCGUCAGCUCGUGUCGUGAGAUGUUAGGUUAAGUCCUGCAACGAGCGCAACCCUUAUCAUUAGUUGCUACCAUUAAGUUGAGCACUCUAGUGAGACUGCCCGGGUUAACCGGGAGGAAGGUGGGGAUGACGUCAAAUCAUCAUGCCCCUUAUGUCCAGGGCAACACACGUGCUACAAUGGUGAGUACAGAGAGAUGCAAUACCGUGAGGUGGAGCCAAACUCUAAAAACUCAUCCCAGUUCGGAUUGUAGGCUGAAACUCGCCUACAUGAAGCUGGAGUUGCUAGUAAUCGCGAAUCAGAAUGUCGCGGUGAAUACGUUCCCGGGCCUUGUACACACCGCCCGUCACACCAUGAGAG